RNAcentral lists this ribosomal RNA (586 nucleotides) under uncultured bacterium. RNAcentral describes it as "partial 16S ribosomal RNA". It matches the Rfam family "Bacterial small subunit ribosomal RNA", at positions 355 to 1375 of the family's 1533-position model. The record is from RNAcentral.
UGGGGAAUUUUGGACAAUGGGCGAAAGCCUGAUCCAGCAAUGCCGCGUGUGUGAAGAAGGCCUUCGGGUUGUAAAGCACUUUUGUCCGGAAAGAAAUCCUUGGCUCUAAUACAGUCGGGGGAUGACGGUACCGGAAGAAUAAGCACCGGCUAACUACGUGCCAGCAGCCGCGGUAAUACGUAGGGUGCAAGCGUUAAUCGGAAUUACUGGGCGUAAAGCGUGCGCAGGCGGUUUGCUAAGACCGACGUGAAAUCCCCGGGCUCAACCUGGGAACUGCAUUGGUGACUGGCAGGCUAGAGUAUGGCAGAGGGGGGUAGAAUUCCACGUGUAGCAGUGAAAUGCGUAGAGAUGUGGAGGAAUACCGAUGGCGAAGGCAGCCCCCUGGGCCAAUACUGACGCUCAUGCACGAAAGCGUGGGGAGCAAACAGGAUUAGAUACCCUGGUAGUCCACGCCCUAAACGAUGUCAACUAGUUGUUGGGGGAUUCAUUUCCUUAGUAACGUAGCUAACGCGUGAAGUUGACCGCCUGGGGAGUACGGUCGCAAGAUUAAAACUCAAAUGAAUUGACGGGGUCAUAGCUGUUUCCU